Molecule: ribosomal RNA, 492 nt
Filed under: uncultured bacterium
Lineage: Bacteria
Description: partial 16S ribosomal RNA
Rfam family: Bacterial small subunit ribosomal RNA
Source: RNAcentral
AGUGAACGCUGGCGGUAGGCCUAACACAUGCAAGUCGAACGACCGCACAGUAAGAGCUUUCUCUUACGGGUGGCGAGUGGCGGACGGGUGAGGCAUACAUCGGAAUCUACUAUUUCGUGGGGGAUUACGUAGGGAAACUUAUGCUAAUACCGCAUACGACCUACGGGUGAAAGCAGGGGAUCUUCGGACCCUGCGCGUCUGAAUGAGACGGUGUCGGAUUAGCUAGUUGGCGGGGUAAAGGCCCACCAAGGCGACGAUACGUAGCUGGUCUGAGAGGAUGAUCAGCCACACUGGAACUGAGACACGGUCCAGACUCCUACGGGAGGCAGCAGUGGGGAAUAUUCGACAAUGGGCGCAAGCCUGAUCCAGCCAUACCGCGUGGGUGAAGAAGGUCUUCGGGUUGUAAAGCCCUUUUGUUGGGAAAGAAAAGAAGCAGAUUAAUCCCCCGCUGUUCUGACGGUACCCAAAGAAUAAGCAACGGCUAACUUCGUG